GGCGAAAUAUAGCUCAGCUGUGAAAGCUUUAGACUCAUGAUCUAAAUGUCCCUGGUUAGAACCCACGUUUCGCCA
Non-coding RNA from Cordylochernes scorpioides, 75 nucleotides. Lineage: Eukaryota; Metazoa; Arthropoda; Arachnida; Pseudoscorpiones; Chernetidae. The record is from the annotation of a GenBank genome assembly.